CUGAAACGGAUCUCUUUUGCUUCACAAUUUACAAUGCUGGCCAGUUUCCAUGUAAUCGAUACACACACUACAUGACUACCUCCACCAGCAUUGAUCUUAAUCUUGAUAGGAAAGAAAUGGUCAUCCUUGGCACACAGUAUGCCGGGGAGAUGAAGAAGGUUUGUUCGGUGUGAUGCACUAUCUAAUGCCUAAAAGAAACAUUCUCUCCCUGCACUCUAGCAACAAUAUGGGCAAAGAUGGUGAUGUUGCCCUCUUCUUUGGACUAUCAGUACUGUUAUCCAGGUAUAUGGCUAACAAAUUUGACAAGGGCAAGGUAUGAAGUGAGGGAGAAGACAUGCACGAGGAAGAAGAAGAAGAGGCGAAGAGGGUUGAAGGGAAUGGAGAGUAUGGACUCGGAUUCAAAGUGAAGGGGAAUAAGAAGGGACAAUUUCGUUUGUUUUUUUCUCCCUUUUUUCUUUGAUGUAGUUUUUCUUUCUUCUGAAUUUGGAUUUUAAUGUGAGUAGUUGUCAAUGGUAAUAUUUGACAUAUUCUCAAUUUUCUCAAAUAAUUUCUUUUAUUUGACUUUGCUUCUUUAUUAUUGAUUUUUUUUACUAAUAUAAUCUGGGUUUGUU
Molecule: long non-coding RNA, 611 nt
Organism: Zingiber officinale
Lineage: Eukaryota; Viridiplantae; Streptophyta; Magnoliopsida; Zingiberales; Zingiberaceae
Exons: 3
Source: RefSeq, a predicted model, not a curated record